Molecule: long non-coding RNA, 1469 nt
Filed under: Marmota monax (woodchuck)
Lineage: Eukaryota; Metazoa; Chordata; Mammalia; Rodentia; Sciuridae
Source: RNAcentral
CUCAGGAGUUUCUGGUUCCUGUAAACCUGAAGAAAGAUCACUGAUUAGGAAGGAGGUUGUGUGACUGGUACUGUUCUUUGAUGUUUUCCUUAUUCUUCUUUUCAGGCAAGGCUGACUUUACUGGUUAAUUAUUUGGGGAGUGAGGCAAAACAGAAAUAGUGAAAAACAGGCUUGCUCAUGCCAGGAGCUAGUUAACCCAAUCAUCGGCUUCAAGCCCAGAGGCAGGCAAAUGGUGAAGGUCUGAAGCUUAAACUCUGGGGUUUUUGCUUGAGUGAACUGCUCACUUCUAAAUUCACUUCAUGCCUAAAUUUUAGUCUUUUCCUAAUGAAGACCCACCGUAUUUUUUGUAAACCUGGAAUCUCAUAAAACCUGGUUUGGUUCUCACUGGGCUUUGGAUUCAGAGAUAUUCCAUUUCUUUUGAAGCCAGUGGAAGAGACAGACAUGGAAACAAAUAAUCUUAACGUACAGACUUCGGAGUUACAAUGGAGAGUUUAUGGCUUAAUUAUGUCCCUUACCUUUGGCCCAAAUCACAAGCUGAAAUUCUAACUCUCAACAUGUCUAUAUUUGGAGGUAAGGUUUUGGGGGGACUAAUGAAAGUCAAAUUUGGUUUUAAGGAUGAGCUAUAAUCCAAUAGGGUUGGUGUCCUUAAAGGAAAGGAAGAGGCACUAGAGAUGCAGCUCUGGAGAAGAAAGACCAGAUGAGGACACAGGAAGAAGGCAGCCAUCUACGGGCCUGGAAGAGAGCCCUCACCAGAAGCCGAAUCUGCUGACCCAAUGUCAUGGACUUUCAGUUUCCAGAAGUGUGAGAAAGAUACAUUUCUAAAUAACUCAGACUAUGGUAAAUUGUUCAGGCAGCCCCAGUGGAGUAAUGCAAGAGGAAAAGUAGUCAAAGACUCACAAGGAAAAGUACUUGGAGUUCUUAUAUUUCAAAGAAAUAUCAGAAGAAGGCAUCUUAUGGCCCUAGAUCUGUACUCCCAGUAAAUUGAGUGCUCUGCUGUUGGAAGACAGAGGCCUGGGGGAAGAUCUAACCAUGGGUCUCAUUAGUAACAUCAUGCUUCUUAGGAGGAGGCUGGUUUUGCUCCUUCUUCUUCUUCCUCCUCCUCCUCCUCUUCCAUCCUCCCCCUCCCUCCCCCUCCUCCUACUCUUUUGUAAACCUAAAACUUGGCCAAGGAGGUUGAAAUGUCUUGAAGAAAGUCAUGUUCAAACUUGAUAUCCACUUGGCUUAUAGCGAAGGGCACUUCUGUCCUGAUCCAAGUCUUAGUCCUAAGCUGACUCUUGCUGUGUAUCUUUGGGUGAAUCAUUUACUCUCUUUGGGCCUUAGUCCCAAUUUCUCAAAGACAAACCACUUGGGUUAAAUGAUCUUUUUAGUGCUAAUAUUCUGUGCAAUGAUAUUUAACCAACUUGUAUAAAAAAGGUGUGGAAAUAAAAAUAUGGAGAAGAUCUCAUUUCUAAAGACAAUGUCUGAUUCAG